GCCAACUGGGGGGCACCCUGAUCAGCAUGCCGCGUGUGUGAAGAAGGCCUGCGGGUUGUAAAGCACUUUCGGUAGGGACGAAAAGCUGAAGGCUAAUAUCCUUCAGUCUUGACUUAACCUAAAGAAGAAGCACCGGCUAACUCCGUGCCAGCAGCCGCGGUA
Molecule: ribosomal RNA, 162 nt
Filed under: uncultured type I methanotroph
Lineage: Bacteria; Pseudomonadati; Pseudomonadota; Gammaproteobacteria; Methylococcales; Methylococcaceae
Description: partial 16S ribosomal RNA
Rfam family: Bacterial small subunit ribosomal RNA
Source: RNAcentral